GGAGGACAGGCUGGCAGAGGAGGGAGGAGGGUUUCUAGCUGAGAGAGACUGCGGCUGUGGGCCUGCAGCCUACCCCUCUUCAAGCUCUCCGGAGCCGUUCCUGCGAAACCAGCCCCCACAAAUAAGGAAGCUGGGAUUCAGAGAAAUUAAGGGACUUGGUGAAGCAGAGAAUGCCAAGGGAAUUGAUUCAGUAGUGGACGGGGAGUCCCUGAAGACUGUUGAGCAGUGAAGAGACCUGAUCGCAUACUAAAAAAGUACAUGCAAUGGCAAGAAGAUCAACUAAGAGAUUCUUCUUAUGUUGCUAUUUUAAACUCCUGAACUCAAGUGAUCCUCCUGCCUUGGCCUCCCAAAGUGCUGGGAUUACAGGUGUGAGACACUGCACCCUGCCCAAGCACCUCUGCUCCGUGCCAUGCUCUUGGCUAAUUGGAGUUGUGAAAGGCAUGAGGAUUCUGGUCAUGGACUCAGCUCUCCCAUAGGGUUCUGACACCAAAGCAAUGGUCACAACAGUGAAAGGAAGAAUCCAUCUGGCCAGGCUCAGGUGGUUCAAGGCCUUCAGAAUCUGCCUUGAGACUCUCACUGGCUUUAGACUGAAAACCAUCUUGGCCCCGUCCAUCCGUGUAAGCAAUUUAACGACAGCUUGCAAAGCACCGAGCUUUAACAGAAAGAAGAGAUGAGCACAGCGCAAGAACUUGGACUCCAGAAGAGCUGCCUAACAGAUUAUUUUUCUGUGGCAUUUCAUGAGAACAAACGAAGUAGGAAUUUUCCUUUUGUUUGUCUGGCCUUUGGCAUCGUUUACUUUCUUUUUAUUCUUCUGAAAUGUACUUCGAGCCCUGGCAGCAUUUCUGUCCUAAAAUCUUAUUGUCAGAGGUUUAUUUUUCAGCUUUUCAAAUCAUAUCUGAUAGAGUGAGUGUACUGCCUGGACUCAUCACUUUACUUCAGAAGAAAUACAGCUCACCCUUUAAAUGACAAUGGUGACUGUCCACAUCUUUAUGUUUUCUACACUGAAGUGGCAGGCUUCAUUUAAAAAUAAUGUUUUCCCUCAUCAAAAGAGAGCUAGGGUAGAACCGUCAACUCUGCUGUUGUCUGGGUAGUGACCUAACACCCACGUUUUGGACAAUCACUCACUGUCUUAUAUUGGGUUUUCAUUGCAUGUAGGAUAAUUCUUUGUCAAUGGUAGUUUUGUCAACCGUGAUCUGAGGUAAUGAGGUUUUCUACUUUUGCUUGAAAUUUUGAAAAUAUGCAAGCUUUAAACAUUUGCAAAGUUGGAUUCUGUUUUCUUUAGAAAGCAAUCUGAUUUGCUGAUAUUCUCUCCAUCUGUCAGGGGAUGCGUGAUGUGGUGUAGACUUAAUGUGCUGCCUUUCUGGAACAUGGACAGAGUAGCAGCACAGAAAAAUGAGCAUUUCAGCUCUGUGAUGAUUUGUGAAAAAAAAUCUCAGAUCAUUGAGCAGGCAUUUUGCUGACACCUGUGAAAAGUAACCACAUGAGAGAGCAUGGCGUGAUGGUCGGAGGCCACGUGCUGGAGCUGGACUGCUUGAGUCAAAUCCCAGCUGCUCAGCUGUAGUGAACUGAAUGGUGGUCCCCAAAAGAUACAUGUAUCUCCUAAUCCCUGGAACCUGUGAAUGUGACCUUAUUAGGCAAAAGGGUCUUUGCAGAUGUAAUUACAUUGAGGCUCUCAGAGAUGAGAACAUCCUGGAUUAUCAGGGUGGGUCCUAUAUCCAAUGACAAGUGUCUCCUUAUAGGAGACAGAAGAAGUUGCAGACCCGGAAGAGACUAAGUAAAGAUGGAGGCAGAGACUGGAGUGAGGCUGCUGCAGGCCAAAAAUGCCUGGUGCCAGCAAAAGCUGGAAGAGGCAAGGAAGGACCUUUCCCUGGGGCUUUUGGAGGGAGUGCAGCCCUGCUGAUGCCUUAGUGUUGGAUAUCUGGGCUAUGGAACUAUGAGAGAGAAACUUCUGUUGUUUUAAGCCACCUAGUUUGUGGUACUCUGUUAUGGCAGCCACAGGAAACUAAUACACUCUUUACCACCUG
RNAcentral lists this long non-coding RNA (2024 nucleotides) under Homo sapiens (human). Its description in RNAcentral is "non-protein coding LINC00211:4". Lineage: Eukaryota; Metazoa; Chordata; Mammalia; Primates; Hominidae. The record is from RNAcentral.